CUCCAAGAGCCCUUUGUAAUACAGGUAAAAACCUUUUGUCCAUGAUGUCUGAUUCAGGCUAUAUACCACAAUUUAAAAGAACACAUAAUGUGAGACAUAGAAGACACAAGCAGUAGUUAUUACACUGGAUCAUUUAAAAGGAACCUGUUGCAAUAAAAAGGUUAGUUUACAGCGCAAAAUAAAGCAUGUGUUGGACCGCUGAAAAUGUAAAUGUUGCUCUCUUAUUUUCAAACAAAAAUCAUAUUUACAGUAUGGAUCCUUUGCAACAAACACAGAGGGCAGGGAAGAUGUGCUGAUUGGUGUUUCUAUACAAUUAAUCCCAUAUGGGGAAUUAACUUUCAAAUACUAAUGAAGUGACUUUUUGUCUCAGUUAUAAAAUAUACUGAGCUCAU
Molecule: non-coding RNA, 392 nt
Organism: Pelobates cultripes (western spadefoot toad)
Lineage: Eukaryota; Metazoa; Chordata; Amphibia; Anura; Pelobatidae
Source: the annotation of a GenBank genome assembly